Molecule: ribosomal RNA, 1395 nt
Filed under: uncultured bacterium
Lineage: Bacteria
Description: 16S ribosomal RNA
Rfam family: Bacterial small subunit ribosomal RNA
Source: RNAcentral
UUAGAGUUUGAUUCUGGCUCAGGAUGAACGCUAGCGGGAGGCUUAACACAUGCAAGUCGAGGGGUAACAGAGGUAGCAAUACUUGCUGACGACCGGCGUACGGGUGAGUAACGCGUAUGCAACCUGCCCUAUACAGGAGGAUAGCCCGAAGAAAUUCGGAUUAAUACUCCAUGCAGCAUAUUUUUCGCAUGAUAAAUAUGUUAAAGAUUUAUCGGUAUAGGAUGGGCAUGCGUCCCAUUAGUUAGUUGGUGAGGUAAUGGCUCACCAAGGCUUCGAUGGGUAUGGGGUCUAAAAGGAUGGUCCCACACACUGGCACUGAGACACGGGCCAGACUCCUACGGGAGGCAGCAGUGAGGAAUAUUGGUCAAUGGGCGAGAGCCUGAACCAGCCAUCCCGCGUGCAGGAUGACAGUCCUAGUGAUUGUAAACUGCUUUUCUAUAAGAUGAAUAAGGACUACGUGUAGUUCGAUGACCGUAUUAUAGGAAUAAGCAUCGGCUAACUCCGUGCCAGCAGCCGCGGUAAUACGGAGGAUGCAAGCGUUAUCCGGAUUUAUUAGGUUUAAAGGGUGCGUAGGUGGGCGUUUAAGUCAGUGGUUAAAGCCAAUAGCUUAACUAUUGUAUGCCAUUGAAACUGGAUGUCUUGAAUAGGGUAGAGGUGGGCGGAAUGUGUUGUGUAGCGGUGAAAUGCUUAGAUAUGACGAGGAACUCCUAUUGCGAAGGCAGCUUGCUGGGUCGUUACUGACGCUGAUGCUCGAAGGUGCGGGGAUCAAACAGGAUUAGAUACCCUGGUAGUCCGCACAGUAAAUUAUGGAUAUUUUCUUCCGGCGAUACAUGUUCGGUGGCCAAGCGAAAGCGUUAAGUAUCCCUCCUGGGGAGUACGUUCGCAAGAAUGAAACUCAAAGGAAUUGACGGGGGCCCGCACAAGCGGAGGAACAUGUGGUUUAAUUCGAUGAUACGCGAGGAACCUUACCCGGGUUUGAAUUGCUGAUGGCGAUAAUUGGAGACAGUUAUUUCCCUUCGGGGCGUCAGUGAAGGUGCUGCAUGGUUGUCGUCAGCUCGUGCCGUGAGGUGUCGGCUUAAGUGCCAUAACGAGCGCAACCCUUGCCGUUAGUUGCCAUCGGGUCAUGCCGGGCACUCUAUUGGGACUGCCAUCGUAAGAUGUGAGGAAGGUGGGGAGGACGUCAAAUCAGCACGGCCCUUAUGUCCGGGGCGACACACGUGUUACAAUGGCCGAGACAGAGGGAAGCGAAGGAGUAAUUUGGAGCGGAUCCCAAAAAGGCGGCCACAGUUCGGAUUGUGGGCUGCAACCCGCCCACAUGAAGCCGGAGUUGCUAGUAAUCGCGAAUCAGCAUGUCGCGGUGAAUAAGUUCCCGGGCCUUGCACUCACCGCCCGUCA